Molecule: ribosomal RNA, 468 nt
Filed under: uncultured bacterium
Lineage: Bacteria
Description: partial 16S ribosomal RNA
Rfam family: Bacterial small subunit ribosomal RNA
Source: RNAcentral
GACGAACGCUGGCGGCGUGCUUAACACAUGCAAGCCGAACGGAAAGGCCCUGCUUUUGUGGGGUGCUCGAGUGGCGAACGGGUGAGUAACACGUGAGUAACCUGCCCUUGACUUUGGGAUAACUUCAGGAAACUGGGGCUAAUACCGGAUAGGAGCUCCUGCUGCAUGGUGGGGGUUGGAAAGUUUCGGCGGUUGGGGAUGGACUCGCGGCUUAUCAGCUUGUUGGUGGGGUAGUGGCUUACCAAGGCUUUGACGGGUAGCCGGCCUGAGAGGGUGACCGGCCACAUUGGGACUGAGAUACGGCCCAGACUCCUACGGGAGGCAGCAGUGGGGAAUACUGCACAAUGGGCGGAAGCCUGAUGCAGCAACGCCGCGUGCGGGAUGACGGCCUUCGGGUUGUAAACCGCUUUCGCCUGUGACGAAGCGUGAGUGACGGUAAUGGGUAAAGAAGCACCGGCUAACUACGUG